Molecule: ribosomal RNA, 460 nt
Filed under: uncultured bacterium
Lineage: Bacteria
Description: partial 16S ribosomal RNA
Rfam family: Bacterial small subunit ribosomal RNA
Source: RNAcentral
CCUACGGGAGGCAGCAGUGAGGAAUAUUGGUCAAUGGACGAGAGUCUGAACCAGCCAAGUAGCGUGAAGGAUGACUGCCCUAUGGGUUGUAAACUUCUUUUAUAUGGGAAUAAAACGUUCCACGUGUGGGGUUUUGUAUGUACCAUAUGAAUAAGGAUUGGCCAACUCCGUGCCAGCAGCCGCGGUAAUACGGAGGAUCCGAGCGUUAUCCUGAUUUAUUGGGUUUAAAGGGAGCGUAGGUGGAUUGGUAAGUCAGUUGUGAAAGUUUGCGGCUCAACCGUAGAAUUGCAGUUGAAACUGGCAGUCUUGAGUACAGUAGAGGUGGGCGGAAUUCGUGGUGUAGCGGUGAAAUGCUUAGAUAUCACGAAGAACUCCGAUUGCGAAGGCAGUUCACUGGACUGCAACUGACACUGAGGCUCGAAAGUGUGGGUAUCAAACAGGAUUAGAUACCCGGGUAGUC